CUGCGCCACCUCAUCUAUGGAGUUGUGCCCCUGCAAGCCGACGCCGCUGCCCAAUCCGCACAUCGGCACUCGGUCAAGAGGCAGUUGCCAGCGAGCAAGCAUCCGUGUUGAUUUGAGAAGCCACGAAAUUGAGGUACGCAGAAGAUGAACAAACCUGAGAACUGAUGAUCCAAAGAUGAGUCGGAGUUCAAGCAUCACAUAGCCGUCAGCUGUGGUUGCUUGUAGGCGGAUGUGUCUCAGACCUAAGUUGUUGCAGCUGGACCGUGGUUACAUGCAUCCUCGCUUGGAGGCAGCGGUGCUGGGAGAUAUCCAUGUGCAAGGCGCAGAAGUGGACGAAGGACCAAAGAAGCAAUCUGUGCCUCCCUGUCGCUGCGUCCUGCUCCUCAAUAUGUCACCUUAUUUAUGGCCGCCUUAUCCCUCAUGCUGCUGAUUUAAACCUGCCCUACUCUUCUUCUCAUAGGCUGAUCAAGGGUUGCGCUUCAGCGACAGCCUCGCCGACAACGGGGAAGCAAGGAUCAGAAGUGACAGCUAUAGCGCUAGGAAAUUAGAAACCCUAGCAAUUGAUCUUCUUUAUAAAACGUGUUUGGCAAGGGACGUGGAACCUGCCUCAGGGAAGAAGAGAUUGAUCACGUGAGAGAAGAGACCAGCUUCCAUCCUUUAUCGGACAACCAAUUGUUUUUUGUUUGCCAAUUGCCUAGUCCAUAUUGUGCAUGUGUUCGAUGCCUGCAGACAUGUGGCUCUUGGAGUUUGUAGGUAGACCUACUAUAUUGCUCUCGGAUACGUGUGAGAGCUUUAUUAUUUCCCCUUUUUUCUUUCCAAUUCGGUCAUGCAUCAGUUCUUGCGUGAUUGUAUUGGACUCAAACAAAACACAUCCAUGUAGUCCUUCC
Molecule: long non-coding RNA, 887 nt
Organism: Triticum dicoccoides
Lineage: Eukaryota; Viridiplantae; Streptophyta; Magnoliopsida; Poales; Poaceae
Exons: 2
Source: RefSeq, a predicted model, not a curated record